CGGACGGGUGAGUAAUGUAUGGGGAUCUGCCUGAUGGCGGGGGAUAACUACUGGAAACGGUAGCUAAUACCGCAUAAUGUCUACGGACCAAAGCGGGGGACCUCCGGGCCUCGCGCCAUCAGAUGAACCCAUAUGGGAUUAGCUAGUAGGUAAGGUAACGGCUUACCUAGGCGACGAUCCCUAGCUGGUCUGAGAGGAUGAUCAGCCACACUGGAACUGAGACACGGCCCAG
Molecule: ribosomal RNA, 232 nt
Filed under: uncultured bacterium
Lineage: Bacteria
Description: partial 16S ribosomal RNA
Rfam family: Bacterial small subunit ribosomal RNA
Source: RNAcentral